Molecule: transfer RNA, 73 nt
Filed under: Anguilla anguilla (European eel)
Lineage: Eukaryota; Metazoa; Chordata; Actinopteri; Anguilliformes; Anguillidae
Rfam family: tRNA
About the family: Transfer RNA (tRNA) molecules are approximately 80 nucleotides in length. Their secondary structure includes four short double-helical elements and three loops (D, anti-codon, and T loops). Further hydrogen bonds mediate the characteristic L-shaped molecular structure. tRNAs have two regions of fundamental functional importance: the anti-codon, which is responsible for specific mRNA codon recognition, and the 3' end, to which the tRNAs corresponding amino acid is attached (by aminoacyl-tRNA synthetases). tRNAs cope with the degeneracy of the genetic code in two manners: having more than one tRNA (with a specific anti-codon) for a particular amino acid; and 'wobble' base-pairing, i.e. permitting non-standard base-pairing at the 3rd anti-codon position.
Source: Rfam by way of RNAcentral
GCCACGGUGGUGCAGUGGGUAGCACUGUUGCCUCACAGCAAGAAGAUGCCAGGUUCAAAUCCGGCCUGGGCCA